RNAcentral lists this ribosomal RNA (918 nucleotides) under Triticum aestivum (bread wheat). RNAcentral's name for it is "partial small subunit ribosomal RNA". The record is from RNAcentral. Lineage: Eukaryota; Viridiplantae; Streptophyta; Magnoliopsida; Poales; Poaceae.
AUGCCCAUUCAGCACGCAGCAACGCCCUCGAUCCCCUCUGCCUUUUUCCUCGUCACCUCGCUCGCCACCGCUUCCUCGCCAUGGCCCCUCGCAACCGCUCCUCCCGCUGCCUCCCGUGCGCCGCCCUGCCAUGGCCGUGUCUUCCUCCAGCAAGGCCGCCGCGCCAAGUCCCUAGAGCCGCACGCCCGUCGCCCCUCUCCCCUCGCGCCUGCGACCCGGAGCGCCGCGUCUCCGGCCGCUCCCCUGCAGCUUCUCCUCCUCCGCCAGGAGCCUGUGGAGCUGGGUGGCCAUUCCAUCCUCACGCCCGUCGUCCCAUCUCGCAAGGCCGCCGCCGUCGUCUUCGGCAGGAGUAGGAGCUUCCAUGGCAGCCAGGCCGCAGUACCAGGACGACCUCUCCCUGCCUUGUCCGGCUGUCGCGUCGUCAUGCUCCAGCGUCGUCUCGAGCUCUUCAUCCUCGACCUCCAUGCCGUACCGGAGUCUCUCGUCGCUGCUGCACGGUCCAGCCUCCGGCCGUCGUCGCCACCAUGGCUUCCUGACCUCUUCACAGCACGCGUGCCGCAGCUGCCUAGCGCUGUUAAUGUCAAGACUUUGGUCACAAUAACCGUGGGUGCCAAGUUCCUCUUCCGGAAUCGUCAAGUGCACGAGGACCCCGGUCCCGAGAACGACUACCACAUCGGAACGCCAAGUACAUGGAUACGCCGAGCUUCUCUCCGAAUGUGUGUACAAAUACCGUACCGCCGAAGACCUUGGAUGCUCGAACGAGUACCGAACGAAACGCCAAGCACCACUAUCGCCGAGUAUGACUAUGUCCACGAUGAUACGAGAACAACUACCGUCGACCCUCGAAGCCUCCGUGGACGUCAAGUCCCUCGCCGUGAUCCCGAACAUCUACGGAAAAUUGUGCAACUAAGAACGUGA